Molecule: ribosomal RNA, 492 nt
Filed under: uncultured bacterium
Lineage: Bacteria
Description: partial 16S ribosomal RNA
Rfam family: Bacterial small subunit ribosomal RNA
Source: RNAcentral
AGUGAACGCUGGCGGUAGGCCUAACACAUGCAAGUCGAACGGCCGCACAGUAAGAGCUUGCCCUUACGGGUGGCGAGUGGCGGACGGGUGAGGAAUACAUCGGAAUCUACUUUUUCGUGGGGGAUAACGUAGGGAAACUUACGCUAAUACCGCAUAUGACCUACGGGUGAAAGCAGGGGAGCUUCGGACCUUGCGCGAUUGAAUGAGCCGAUGUCGGAUUAGCUAGUUGGCGGGGUAAAGGCCCACCAAGGCGACGAUCCGUAGCUGGCCUGAGAGGAUGAUCAGCCACACUGGAACUGAGACACGGUCCAGACUCCUACGGGAGGCAGCAGUGGGGAAUAUUCGACAAUGGGCGCAAGCCUGACCCAGCCAUACCGCGUGGGUGAAGAAGGCCUUCGGGUUGUAAAGCCCUUUUGUUGGGAAAGAAAAGCAGCAGGUUAAUACCCCGCUGUUCUGACGGUACCCAAAGAAUAAGCACCGGCUAACUUCGUG